UGGUAGUCCCAGCCGUAAACGAUGGACACUAGAUGCUGGAAGAGUCAAUCCUUUCAGUGUCGUAGCUAACGCGUUAAGUGUCCCGCCUGGGGAGUACGCUCGCAAGGGUGAAACUCAAAGGAAUUGACGGGGGCCCGCACAAGCGGUGGAGCAUGUGCUUUAAUUCGAUGCAACGCGAAGAACCUUACCUGGGUUUGACAUGGGGGUGAACGUUCCCAGAGAUGGGAGCCUUUCCUUCGGGAACACCCCACACAGGUGCUGCAUGGUUGUCGUCAGCUCGUGUCGUGAGAUGUUGGGUUAAGUCCCGCAACGAGCGCAACCCCUGUCCUUAGUUGCCAGCGGAUAAUGCCGGGAACUCUAAGGAGACUGCCUGGUAUAACCAGGAGGAAGGUGGGGAUGACGUCAAAUCAUCAUGGCCCUUACGUCCAGGGCAAGACACGUGCUACAAUGGCCGGUACAACGGGAUGCGAACUCGCGAGAGCAAGCCAAUCCCUUAAAACCGGUCUUAGUUCGGAUUGGAGUCUGCAACUCGACUCCAUGAAGCUGGAAUCGCUAGUAAUCGCGGAUCAGCAUGCCGCGGUGAUACGUUCCCGGGCCUGUACACACCGCCCGUCAAGCCAUGAAAGACGGCAGUGCCCGAAGUCGCUC
Molecule: ribosomal RNA, 648 nt
Filed under: uncultured organism
Description: bacterial SSU rRNA
Rfam family: Bacterial small subunit ribosomal RNA
Source: RNAcentral